This 17193-nucleotide long non-coding RNA is filed under the name Ananas comosus (pineapple). Its description in RNAcentral is "long non-coding RNA (ACOM_LNC026105)". Lineage: Eukaryota; Viridiplantae; Streptophyta; Magnoliopsida; Poales; Bromeliaceae. The record is from RNAcentral.
CUUCCGCUUGACGCUGGUCGGGAAGUAAUGGGCCAAAAGAAGCUCCUUGAACCUCGUCCAAGUGAUAGCCGCCAAGUCAGUGCUGGGGUGCUCCUGGAGAUCCAACCACCAGCGGUAGGCCUCGCCGUCCAAGUGGUGAGUGGCGAGCCAAACUCGAUCCCUCUCCUCCACGAAGGUGUCGCGGAAGAGCUUCUCCAUAUGCAUCAACCACUUCUCCACAAUCCAGUGGUCGACCUUCUCGCCGUCGAAGACUCGGGGACUGCACCUCUUGAACUCAUUGAGGCGCUCCAUCAGUCUGUCUCGCUCCGCCACCUCGACCAAUGUAGGGAAUGCAGCUCCUGCUGGGGGCCUCUGAACAGGUGGUGCCACCAAAACCUCCUCCUGGGGUGCGGCCACAGGUGCCGCACGAGAAGAACUGGGCGCGGGGGACGGCGCUCUUGGUGCAACGUCCACAACUGGUGCUCGCGGUGUAGGGGCCUGAGUCUCCCUAGAAGCUGCUGCCUGCUGGAGUAAAAGGUCCUCCAGGCGCUUCAUCCGCGCCUCCUGUCGGCGCGCCGCCUCAGUCUGCUGUCGGGCCGCCUCCACCUGCUGAGUGACUAAAUCAGUGAGGGCCGCAAGCUGGCCCCUCAACUCACGGACCUCGCUGGAUCCGGAGGUAGCGGAGGUCUUGACCUCAUCAAAGUUCACCCCAUUGUCCGCCCCGGCAGAUUGGGAGCGAGUAAUCGGCAUCGUCACUACAAAACAUAAAAGCGCAAGUUAGUAACCCACGCUAUCGCAUCCCCGCUCAAAUAGAUAGAGCCGAAAUCAUGCGAAAGUAAGGAAGUGUCCUUCACUACUAACUCCCGAUGUUACGUUGUCGACCGCCAACGUAAUCCUCCGCGAAGUUAGUAGCCAUACACUCCGAUCAAACUCUAACUUUCUAGAGUUAUCAAGAUACCCAAUCAUGGUACUUUCGCUCGCAAAUCAAAUAGACCUCGUCUCUCACGAGCCUAUUUCCUAUAGUCCAACCGGCCUAAGGUUUGCUAGGUCCCCUAAGACUCAACCCUAGGCUUUGACACCAAAAUAAUCUGUCACGCCCCGGGACCCAGCGGAAGCCCGCCCGGCACGUGUCCAGACCCGCCAUACGUCUAAAACAUAUAAGGCGUCUAAAAACAACGAUGAAAUGAGCAAUAAUAAAAGACAUCUAGGAGUAUCAGAGCAUACCAGAAAACUAAGUUCUACCAUAGAGAAAGUAACAUAAAGCUGAAAACCACUGAUAGAAACAUAAAGUAGUACAAAGGAGUCCCAUAAACAAGUGCAAAAGUAAAUACAUAGGUGGUCUUUAUACAUGGAUACAAAAUCUCCCACUCUCUCAACUACAAAAAGAAAGAGUAAACCACCUAGGCAAAGAAUCGCUCCUCGCUAGCUAGCUAUGCGAUCCCCUUGCCACGAUCCCGUGCCUCCGCCGGUGCCGAAGGCUCUGUAAGAAACCACGAAAACGAGGGCGUGAGAACUAUUAAAAAUAGUUCCCAGUGGGCAAUUACUGACUUUAGUGAACUGCGCCACAAGGCCCAAAAGCUACAAAGAGGAGUUCAGUGACAAAAAUGUAGUAAAGAAGAAGGUAAGUAAAAAUGUAACUCAUUAUAGCAUAAUGUCUCUACUUAGCAUGACUUGCAUAAGUAAUAAAGCAACUAUAACAUGAAUGUACAUGGAUGUGUAUAACAUGAAUAAGCAUAAGUAUGCAACCAAUACUAUGUUCUCAAGCAAAUAGUGAAUAUGUCAUUGUUUACUGUUCUAGUCCAUAUACUAAGUCAUCAUCUGUCUACAUGUCGUAGCGAACGCUCAAAGUCAAUUCUGAAAAGACCCACCCGAAGGCUGUCUAUGGCCCUGAGACCCACCCGUAGGCUGUCUGGCCGAUGCCGAGCCUAAUGGCCCCGUGGUAGUCAUCAUCCCCAUCCUAGGAAUGAGUCUGGCCCACGGCAAUCCACUUCGGCGCCCAAUCCCGCACGGCGAAUACGAAUCGUGAUGGCUAUCUCCGGAGUGCCGGCUUGUAGGGAGUGACCCUCACAAGCAUGUGCGAAUGAGCACAAUGGCAAGUAGUCAUAUGUCCUGUCACAAGUACCAAGUCCUCAUGUCUAAUAACAUGAAAUGUAUCGAAUGUCCCAAAGGCCUAUCUCUAUGACAUCAUGUCUCUAACAUGGAAUAUAUAGCAGAUGUAUAAUGGCCUAGCGUUAUGUCUCUAUAUUGCAGUUUCAUAGUUUACUAGUUUCAAGUGCCUCUUGAUGACACUUUGUGCUACUAAGUCCAAACAUAGUAUAAUGUUUCCAAUACACGAGUAUGAGCUAAUUUAGCAUACUAGACAGGAAUCCCAUUCGUCCACAUGAACACCCCUCACAUGCAUGAAAAUAACCCUGAUUACUCUACUAUAUAGAGUGAAAUUUAACUUACACAUAAGACAUGCAUUCUAAGUGUUCUAAAAUUCACAUAAAUUCUAAUUAGCAUAGAAAUGUAUUUAAAAAUACUUUACAACAAGUAUAGAGAACAUAGGGGCCAUUUUGCUCCUUUUCCACGAAGUCAAACCCACCGAUUUUUCGAACUCUUCGUUUCGUCGAACGAAGGUGUCCACUAGCCUCCUAGUACCCUAAGGAUGUACGAACAAGCGUUACCCAAACGAAACGAACAACGGAUUGCUCAAUCAUUAACCAAUUCGGGCUAGGAUUGAAGAAAACUCACCGAUUGCGAAGGAAGCUCUCUCGAUCUCUAAAUGGGAGCUAGAGUCCUUCCAACCUAACCUAAACGAAGGUUUUAAACCAAUCAAUUUGGUUCCAAAGCCCUCAAAUCGAAAAACCCUAUUUCUAACCCUAAUAUCCAAAAUCUAGGGUUUCAAUCAAAAUAACCAUCAAAACAUGCACCAAAAGGGAAAUACAUGUUACUAACCUCUCUAGAAGCUCCAAACUAGGCUCCAAUCCAAAUGGGGUUGAAGAUCCUCCCUCCACAAAGCUCCAAUCCCGAGCUCAAGGCUUCUCUCAUGGAGGAAACCCAAUAAGAAGCAAGAAAAGCAAGGAGGAGGAGGUCAAAACCUACCAAAAUCCAUCAAAAAUGGAAAGAAAACUCAAAGGGGGAGAGUCUCACCUUGUCUCCACAGAACUAGGGCUCAAAACCUUGUCUAAGGGGGCUGGGGUCACUUAUAUAGGUGUUGCGAUAAUUGCAAAAACACCCCUCCACGUAACAGCCCCAAUCUGCACUGUGUACCGGUACAUGGGUUUGUGUACCAGUACACAACCCACGAAUAGCCAAACUCGAGCCUCGGGUUGGCUGGGAAAUGCUCUGCGUACCAGUACACGAGCCCGUACCGGUACAGCCAUCAAUCCCGUACCGGUACAGCAAGCAAACCCGUACUGGUACACAGCUUGCUGAAGGCUACCCGAGAGCUGACCAAAAAUCCUACUUUUUGGAUUUUGGUGCACAGCUUUAAACCACGAUUCUCGGGACUCGAACCAUAGGUCGGGACACUGUCAACGACAUCCCACAAAAUGUGGAAAAGCUCGGAACACAAACCAGACACUCGACCUCGCUAUUUGCAAAGGUCCAGUGUGUUACAUUCACCCAUCCUAAAAAGGAGUUUCGCCCGCGAAACUCAAAAGCAAACGCCAUACCUCAAGACUCCAUCUGAAAAAGAUGGGGAUAGCGCUCUUGCAGCGCGCUUUCUACCUCCCACGUGGCCUCCCGCUCCCCGUGGUUGCUCCAAAGGACCUUCACAUACGGAAUAUCCCGAUUCCACAGCUUCUUCACCUCGCGAGCCAAAAUCUUCACUGGUUGCUCCUCGAAGCUCAAAUCCCCACGCAGUUCCACUGGUAAAGUCUCCAAAACGUGGGUUGGAUCAUGAAUGUACCUCCGAAGAACCGAUACAUGAAAGACGUUGUGCACGCCUGAUAGGUUCAGUGGUAGAGUAAGUCGAUACGCUACCAAUAGAUUCAUAAGAGGCAGCAACAUGUUAGUUCAAUGAACAGAUAGAUAUAUAUCUUGAUUAUGCAACUAAUAAAACCAUGCUUUGCCUCACGAAUGCAAUAAUGCCAUGCUAUAUGCGAAUCAUGCAACUAUACAAGUAGAAUGAAUGAUUUAACUUUCUAUCAUACUAUCCAUAGCUUUUCCAUAAUUUAUACAUCGUUGUCACUUUACAUCGUUGGUUAUUUGCUCCUAAGGUUUUCCUCUCUACCUUAGCUAAGCUAACCACCCGACUCGGUCUCGAGUCAAUCAUAUUGUAGUGCGUUUAUUCUUUGAAAAGUAACUCUCCCUUGGCUUUGACCCAAUCUUACCGGUUAACCUUGUUAACCCCAAUGACUCGCAACCCAAAAUCCCUUUUGAUCGAGGAGGCUUCGAGCACUUCCACUCGAGGGACCGUCUUUCGGGGCCACUAUCCCCGUGGUGACCUACUCCGGAGCGCACCGCUUGAGGGGGAGCUACCUCCCUCAAGCCAAGACUUAUCGUGAGUAUAGAUCCAAUCCUCAACUUGAGGACUCAUAGCCACUUGUCACAAUGCUAUUGUCAUAAUAGGUUUCUACUUAUUUAUUCUUGCCACUUUCUAAGUCAUACUUGUCUCAAUGCCACUCUUGGUUAAAUUAUGUUUAACAACUAUGUUCUCUAUACCAAUCAAUGUCUUUAUUAUCAAUAUCACCUUUGUUUACUAAUGUCCAAGUCCAACUCUCACAUUCACAUAGUAAUAGGGUCCUAACAUACAUGUCCAUUAUGGUUCUACCUUUCUCUAUGUUCAACUUCGUUAGAAACAUGUCAUUGAAAGCAACCAAGGUUCACAUGUACUUAGCCCUAUCAUGCAUGAAUGAUACAAAAGAAAUAUGCUCAAAUGCCACAAGUGUUUGCUAGGCUCAUGCCACUAGGUUCACACUGUACUUGUUCAACCUAUGUUCAAGACACUAGGUUUAAUGCCACUUGAUGUCCAACCUAUAUUCUUUGACACUAGGUUCAUGUCCAACCUAUGUUUAUUCACACUAGGUUCAUAUCAUCCAUGUUCAACCUAUGUCCAUGACUCUAGGUUUAAUGCCACUCGAUCUAAUGUAUAUAGAUUGUCCACAUCGAGCAUUACACUAGUUUUCCAAUGUCGAGUUCUCUAAUCAACCUAGAGUUAUCGACCCCAAGUUUAACAUGUAAAUGUCAACUAAUAUAAUCCUCUAUAUGUCAGCAUGCAUAGUUCAUCUAUCACAUGCAAUAUGUCAUCAUGCACAUAUACCACUAGCAUCACAUGAUAUGUCAUUUACUUAGCAUUCUUAUUUUAGCAUCCCUAAAACAUGCUUAUCAUACAUGGACUUAGCAUUUCUAUCAUGUCAUCAUCUAUAUUCUUAGCAUUAACCACAUGCUUGCAUUUAUUAUUUCUAUAUCAUGCUUAUCAUACUAUUACUUAGCAUUAUCCACAUGCAUGCUUAUCAUGUAUACUUUAGCAUUAAUCAAUGCAUUUAUCUAGCACUAUUUACACUAAGUCAUCAUGCAUUGUUUGGUAGCUCAUUUAGCCUUCAUCUCAUGCAUACUUAUGUUGUAUCAAUAGCUACCACUACAUGCAUCAAUGAUGAACAUUUAUCUUAGACAUACAGGCAACCUAGUCGCUUCGGUAAACACAACCCACCUCGUAACGCUCUCCGAUUGCUUGUCGACACUUGCAAUCGGCCUCCCGCGGCACCCGUAACCCGGUUCCGCCCGAUUUUGCUAAUACUCACCAACCGUGAGUCGAAUCGCGGCACCGAAAAUUAUAGGUCUUCGGUUAUGUGCCACGGUACUCCAAAUCCGUUUUCAUGACUUUACGAUGUCGCCUCGGCCCUCCAGGCGGAAACGAAGCAUAAACGUCUGUUUCUUUAAUAUCUUUACAACGGCUCGACGAAUCGCCGAACUGACUUCGCCAACGUGUUCGUUUACCUAGCAAUUAGGUUUACGGAGGGUCAAAUGAGAUCAAACCCUACUAUUUUACAAAACCCCAUUCGGAGCCCUAAUAUGCAAUUAACCUCCAAAUAAUCCAAAUUAAAUGGAGCAACAUACUAACAAUGCUCAUUAGAGGCUAUGAGAACAUUUAAAGCUAAGGAUUAAGCCAAAUCCCAAAAACUUACCACAAUGUGAACGCCGCGACGAAAGCACGCCGCUCCAACGGCAGCACGAGAGCUCGAACCGAUGCCUCCAACGCGUUCGCAAGCUCGCUCUCCACCAACCCUCAAAUUUUUAAAGAGAGAUGUGGAGAGAUGAGGGAGAUCUUUAGAGAGAAAAAGGAGAGCUUCUCUCUCCCUUCCCAUGCGUGUGUGUGUUGCGGGGUGGUGUGGUCGGCUGAGGAAGAAGAAGAAGCAAUGCUUCUUUUAAUAAAUACACCCUCCAACACUAUUCACUUCAGGUAGCUCGAAAUCUGAUAUCUUUUGCCGGAGUUCCCUGAAUAUCCGUUUGUGCUCAAAUUUGACAGUCUUGUUCAGUUUUACUUAUCGAGUCCAAAGAAAUUUUAAUAUUUCAGUUUCAACCCUGUUUGGUCACCGAAAGCUGUACCGAACUGUAAUCUUUAUCAGAUAACUGUCGGAUUUUAUUUUCCAUCUUCCGGGUGUUAGAAUGAUAUGAAACUUUAAAUCUAGCCUCAUAAAAAUAAUUCUGACUUAUCCUCCAGUUUUUAUAAUUUUCUGACACUGUGCAUUUUCUGCUAAUUUAUCUGUCCCGUUUCUAACAGAAAAUUCUAAAUCUUCUGUUUUCGUUCCGAUUUUAGCAUAAGUCAUUUUUGACUUAUAUUUUAUUUCUCUANAUCUCACACUAUUUUUUAUUUAUUUUUAUUUUUAUACCAAAAUCUGGCAUGUUAUACCUUCCCUGCCCGCCCAAGGCUCUAGCAACAAGUAUAAUUAAGUAAUCAAUCAAUGAGAAUUGCAAUUAUACCAGACUUGCACGAGGGCAAGCAACUUCCACUAUAUUCAGCUCAAAGUGUUAAUCAUAGCUGCUGAAACAGAUUCCAAAAACAGCUUUAUUGCUUUACCAAUAAACUUGUUAUAGCAUCAACAUAAGGCAAUUAACUAGCUAAUUUGUCAAGCCCCGACUCCGCCUAUUUGGUCGGAUUCGGGCCACGUCAACAGACGCCGAACGGACAGGACCUCCCCUGCCCGCCCAAGGCUCUAGCAACAAGUAUAAUUAAACAAUCAAUCAAUGUGAAUUGCAAUUAUACAAGACUUGCACGAGGGCAAGCAACAAUAUGAAUUAAAGCUCUAAACUACUACAAGCAACCACAUACAUAAUAUUUGAUUAUAUUUUAAUCAAAUACAAGUAAACUAAAACUAUUACAUUCAUUUUACUUUCAUUCAUAAUUUCUUUACAUCAUAAUCAUCCAACCCAAAAUACAUGAUUGUUUACAACUUUUACAUUUUUCUUGAUCAACAAAAUAAAAGUUGAUACAUGAACAAAAGGAAUGACUAUAAUGCAAAUACUCCGGUGGCCACUAUCUAUGGUGCAAGACCCUUGUCUCGAUCCUCUGCCACCCCGCUCGCACUCGGAUCUGUAGGGUUAGUGGUGUGAGAACUACAACGAAGUUCCCAGUGGGUUCGGCCAUCGAUCUUGCCGACUUACCCACUAGGUCUAUUUAGGCAUAAGUAUUUCAAGAAAAGGGAAUAGUAACCAUACUAAUGCUAAUACUAUGCCUGCAAGAAAACUGUCAACAAAUAGAUAUAUAAUCAUGUAACGAUGAAUAUGCAUGCAUGCUCUUUCCACAAUUUACCUUGGCUUUUACCCAAUUGUACCGGUUAAUCUUGUUAACCCCCAAAACUCACAACCCGAAAUCGCUAUUGACCGAGGAGGCUCCAAGCACUUCCACUCGAGGGACCGUCUUCGGGGCCACUAUCCCCGUGGUGACCUACUCCGGAGUGCACCGCUUGAGGGGGAGCUACCUCCCUCAAGCCAAAACUUAUCAUGAGUAUCGAUUCAAUCCUCAACUUGAGGACGUAUAGCCACAAUGUCACAAUGCCACAAUACUAUAACAGGUUUCUACCUUGUCAUAUAUGCCACACUUUAGGCUACACUUACCAUAAUGCAACUAAUGGUUAAACUUUGUUUAACGAUUCAUUUCUCAAUGUCAAUCUUGUCUCUAUUGUCAAUGUCACCUUUGUUUACUAUUAUUAUAGUCCAAGUCUCACAUUCACACAUGUAUAGGGUUCCAACAAACAUGUCCUCUAUGGUUCAUAUCAAUCACUAUGUUCAUCUACGUUAGAAGCAUAUAAUUGAAUCCCAACGAAUAUUCACAUGUAAUUUACUCUAUUACGCAUGAAUGACUAUUGACACAUAUGCUCAAUAAAAGGUGAUAUAGACAUAAAGGGGAAUCCAAUGAUUCCGGAGUGCAGCCCCUACCUCGUAUGGUAGUAAAGAUGCUACGGUUCAAUUCCUGGGAUUUGUAGACUCCUAUUCCGCGUGCUGCGGCGAUCUGUACCAAAAUAGAACCAAAUUAGGCUUUUUAUUCAAUAUCUUUACUUAGACAUUUUCGUUUCGCCAAACCGAGCGCACCAACGCGUCGGGAAUACCCCCAAUUAGGUUUCUACAAGGUCAAUUUACUUCGAAAACGAUCGAAGGCAAAAGCCCCAAAUUUGGUGCCCUAAUAAUGCCAUAUAUCAAUUUUUCCUAGAUUGAUCUUGGCACUAAGCAAACACUAGCUUAGAAUCAUUUAGGGAGCUCUCUAAUACCCUUUCUAACCCAUUUGAACCAUUCCUAGGGCAUCUAAAGCCAACCCUAGAAGAUCACCAUGAGAGCACAUGGAGCUUCCAUGGAUUUUCAUGGAGUUCAUGCCUUACGAGUGUUUCUAGCUUUGCAAGAAAUCCAAAACCCAAAGAUCUAGAGUAUAAAUCCAAACACUAGAACUAUUCUUGCAUAAGAACUCACCUUAGCCCACUAGCUCCCCAAUGUCCACCUUGUAGGAGAGCUUCUUGACCUUCAAACCCACCAAAAUCACCUCCAAAGCCUUCUUCCCCUUCACCUCCUUGCUCUAGGGUGUGAUUUCUAGAGAGAGAAAGAGGGAAAUGAGAGGGAGAGUGGAGUUGCUGUGUAAAACAGGUGGGAGGGGGUGUUGGGGUCAUAUAUAGCGUGUAACAAUUGCAACUAGGCCCCCCAAACAUUGUAUUUGCAACAGACCUCAAUGUUGCUGCCAGACCAAAGUGUACCGGUACAGGCCUUUCCGUCACCGGUAACACGAUCGCGCAGAGGCAAACCCGAGAGCAGCUUUUCUCGGGCACGCGACAUUUGUACUGGUACACCCAUUUGUACCUUUACAAAAUCGGUUUUCUCUCAAACCCCAGAGCUCUUCCCCUCGGUUUGCCACAAUAUACGAGUACAACCCUGAAGUUGUACCGGUACAAGUUCCAGACGUCAGAUUUUCGCGUCGUUUCGAUCUACUUCGCAACGAACAAGGCUAAAACCUUUCUAACUCCUCUAAACUCACUUCAAACUCUUCCAACCUUGUUGGAACACUUAUUGGAACUUGUCUAACUAUCUCUUUCACAUACUUUAGUCAAGUUGGCUAAAGUUUGAUAAUCUCUACCGAGGUUUCGAUAUAUUACAUAAUUACCCUUUUCCAAGUUUCAAUUUCAUUCUUCCCCUGGAUUAGGGUUGAAAAACCACCUCAAAACCUUGCUUCUAUAGAUGUUAUAACAUCCCUCACCUCAGCUGGUAAUAAGGAACAAGAAAUCAAGUCUAAACUCACUACUAGUACCAACUAGAGAAAGAAAUAGUAUUACUCAGCUUAUUAAGGUGCUACUCAGUUAUUUGCUUAGUUUAGCCUGUCAAAUACCUCCAAAACUCCCUCUUCAACUACACACAACAACCCCCAAACCCUCCAAGGCUGCUAACUACAAAGGAGAAGAGAAGAAUAAGCUCAAACCUUUGAUUCUUACUCAAAGAGAGAGAAACCCUAGAGAGAGAAAGUGAGAGAGAUGCAAACCCCUUUCCCUGAGCUCCAGUAACCCUCAACAACUGCAGGAGUCGUGUUGGGUCCAUUGGAGAUAAGAUUGAGUGUAAAAAGACUCAAAUAGCCUUGCUGCCACGCAGCUACAGUACUGGUACCGGUACUCCGAAAUUCUGUCACUGGUUAACAGUGCCAAAAUACAGAUUUUGCAUUUUGCAAUGCACUUUUGCUUUUCCGGCCACUUGUUCGCUUCAAUAACUUGCCGAAACUUCUCGAUAACCUUUCAAAAGAUGUAGAAUAGUUCCAAUUACCAUUCUAACAUUCGAACUUCGCGACUUGCCAAAGUUCAGUGUACUACAGAACUUCUAUGCCAUUAUGCCAUGCAUUUCAGCAAACGGUCAACUGAUAAAUGAAUGAGUUGCACCUGUAUCAAAUAAAGCUCUAGUUCGAACUCCGUUUACCAACACCAUACCUGCCACGACGUUGCGCUCCUCGACCUCAGCAGGUUCCUCCACUUGAGCGGCAAACACCCGACCACUAGGAGCCCGCCGGGCCAUCUCAGGCUGACGUGGCACCAUCGCAUGUCCAGCAGAUACGACAGUAGAUGGAACUCCCCCAUACUGUCUCGAAGUCGCCGGAGCCGAUGCAACCGACGGGGCAGGCGAGGCCCUUCUUGGGCAGUGACGGUUAAAGUGUUCCGCCUUACCACAUCUGAAGCAUUUCCCCUGGCACUGCUCACAAUUCAUCGGUUGAUGGUCUCCGCCACAAAUGACGCACCGCGGAGUCCCACGACCCUUAGACUGCGUUCGUGGGUACUUCGUGGGCUUCUUGGACUUCGACUGACCUCCCGAACCACUUGGAGCCCGCUUCUUUCCUCCGUCCUUCUCGGACGCCUCACGCUCGACACAGGCAUAGGCAUUACCAUGCUCUGCCCACAACGCCCGAUCCAACACCUUUGCAAAGGUUGUGAGCUUGAGAAUAUGCAUCGCCUUGUAAAUAUCCGGCCGAAGUCCACGCUCGAACCAAUCGGCCCCGUCCUUGUUGUCCCGUACCACAUCGGGAACGCAGUCAAUGAUGUGCAAAAACUCCCGCUCAUAUUCUCCUACCGAGCGGUUUCCCUGUUUCAGCUUCUGAAAUUGAUCCUAAAGCUUCUUCUUCUCACUAUCGGGGAAAUAAUUAGUGAACAUCAAUCCUUGAAACUCCUGCUACGCCAAUGGCGGAAGGUCAGAAGACCGAUCGCACUUGACCCUCUUCUACCACACCUUCACCGAUCUCUCCAAAUAAUGCAUGGCGAGGUGUGCAUUGUCCUUCUCCAAAGUAUAGAGAUCCUCGAAGAGGGUCUCCAUCGAGUCAAUCCACGGCUCAACCAUCCACGGCUCGACAUUCUCCUCGUCAAACAUCGGCGGAUUAAACUUCCUGAACAUCGUGAGGGCCGAGAGUGCAUGCUCCCUCUCGGCUUCCAUCUCCGCGCCUUCGGGAUUUGAAGUACCCGAACCGGUAGCCCCCACCGUCGGUGUGGGCCGCUCUGCAACAAGUACAGCCGUCGUGGCCACACCCUUCGUCAUACCGGGUAUAAUGACAGGGGGCGUAGGUUGCUCAAUAUCCGCCUGAGCCGCCGCCUGCUGCUGUGUCGCCACAUGCGGCGCCUGUAAGAAAAUCAUGUGUACGCAGCGGAAGAAAAUAACACAAUUAAAAAUUUUCUUGAAAAACAAAGAUCACCUCGUGUUUCGUUUUAGAUCAUUAUAAUAGAUCUAAUUGAUCUAAUCAAAUAGGAUCUAUAUUUUAUUUUACCUCGCGUGGGUCGAGAUCACCGCGAAGUCGACAAUCGUUUCUUGCUUGUUCGUCCUCGGUUAGCCGCGCACGCGCCCGGCCUCACUCGCGUCCACACGAAAUCACGCCCUUGAUCGAACUAGACGACCGCUUCAAUCCGUGAUCCGAUCGCGAACUAAUCUCUUGCGUCGACUUGAGGAAGAUGAAUCGAUCUUCUAGAUGUGCUAGCAACUUUUGAAGAUCGAAAUCGAUGGAUUUAUUGUGGAGGACUUAAGAAAGAAAAAGGAUUGACGGCUAGGGUUUUCUUUUUCCUUUUUACUUAAUUUUCCAUUAAUUUUAAUAUGUCAUAUGACAUAUAUUUAUAAUGAGAAAACCUAACGUAAUCCUAAUCGAAAUCCUAUUCCGAUUAGAUUAUCCAUUAACCCACAAGUUGGUUAUGAUAUUAACCGAAUUCCGAAUCCUAAUUCUAAUUCGAUUCAUGUGUAACAUUUACACAUAAGUCCUCAUAUUAUUUACUAAUGAUUAGUAAAUACACCAUGCAACUUUUACACAUAAAUACCUCUAAUUUACAACAAUUGCAAAUUAGUCCUUUUACUAAUAAAUUAGUAAACUUUAGUAUUUAACUAUAUUGUAAUUAUAAUUAAUCCAUCCGAUAAACUUCUUUUAUCGUCUCCUAAAUAUCGAUCAUGCGCGAUUUCUUAUGUGUGUGACCUAAUAGGUUCAAUUCUGUCUGGUAGUGAGAUAUGAUGAGAUCUCCAUCUCCAUCAUCAUCGAAACUCUUUUCGAUGGCUCAAACUCUUUUGAUUCCACCCUAAUAGAAUAAUUAAUAAUUAUUUCUAUUGGUUCCCACAAUCCACCAGUGACGCCUAGCAGCAUGUAGUGGCAAUCCAGUCAGAAGUGAAUAUCGGACUGAACCUCUAGGUGCAGUUACCGUACAAUACAAUCCUUCUAUCGCAUAGUUCCAACUGAGUGGAGGUCAUGGAAUAUUCGUCAAACCCCAUCACCCGUCAUAUGACAAAUUUGAUCAGACAGAAGCUCUUAUGGUUACUCUUGGAAACAUCUUUCCAUACACCAUAUUACCCCGGCCGAGGAUUUCUGAGCUUUGCCGUACAAAUAGCAUAGAACUAAUUAUCUCUCUACCGAGAGCGAUAGAUCCCCUAUAAACACACACCCAUUCCUGAUAUGAACCGACUGCAGCCAACAUAUACUACUAAGACCCAUGGCUAGGAUCAGAGUUUGUUGCAUAGUCAAACUACAGUAGCCUCAUAUUGAAUGACCGUGGUGUCGCAGGUCUAAGGAUCAGUUGUACCACUGCAACAUCGAACCAGUUACUGACGAAUGAGUAGACAUCCAUAUAACUGUUCGUAGUUGGUCAUGCUCAGUACCGUUGUUCUCUAACAACCACCUGCAUGUUCGCUCCAGUGUCCCUACACUGAUGACUCGAGAUUCGUCAUCCCAAAAGGGAAGCGGCACACACAUCAAUCUUACCGGAUCAAUCAUCGUCCCAAUGAUGAUCCUCCGAUUGAGAGCAUUUAUGAAUUAAUCACCAAUAAUAUGUAUCUCAAAUUCUCAACUCUUGAGAAUACAUAUUAUCAUCUUAUUAAUUCAAAGGACGAUUCAUGGACACAUUUAACAUGAAUGGAAUAAAAAGCCCAAUUAUAUAAAUAAUAAAGAUUAAGUACAAAUAUAUGUCCCAUAGAAAAUAAAAUGCGUCAGCCUGAUAGGCUUCUAGGGCAUACAACUAACAGCGCCACCAAUUCUUGCAGCCUUCCAAUUUGAUCCUCUUGGCGCUACAUCACACCAACCAUCGCAGUGACUUGUACUCAUAACUCCCGCACCUCGUCAGAUCCGGAAAGCUCGGGCACCUCAGGAGGUGUUCCCGGAGCGGAUCUUGUCACAAGGCGUCUCUUUCGUGCCAUUAGCUCCUGAAACGCAAUAACUAGGUUAAUCACCUUAACCCACGAACUUCUCGUGAUUCAUGAACAAAAUGACCCAACAUCGAAAUUUGGCGGAAGCACACAAGCAUACUCAUUCUCAACCUUCAGCGUCAUGUUGUCGGCAGCCAACACAACUUCCAUGAGUUGAGAACCAGUAUUACUUGAAUCCGUCUCUAUCAACCAUUAGAGACAUUCUAACAACUACACCCAAUUGACUUAACCUCCGCCACCCGUCAUAGGUCAACGUCACUCACGCACCUAUGACCCUUAUGGUUAUGUCCUAGGGUCUCCUAGGUCCAUCCUAGACUUCUCUCUUUUCAUGUUCUAACACCACUUUAUCUGCCACGCCCCGCAACCGCCAAUUUGGUCGGUUGGGGUACGCCUAAUAGACGCCGAACGGACAGAACCUCCCAUGUCCGCCCAAGGCUCAACAAACAUCAAUCAUGUAUAUCUAGUUGUCCAGGUAAACAUAGUCAACAUACAUAAAUCAUGCAAGUAUAACACAAGCGAGAGCAAGAGAGAAAACUAGCUAUUACAUUCACUUUGCAUUUAACCACCAAAAUACAUAUAUUUGGUUUUCAAGUUUCAUCUCAUGAUACAUAUACAUCUCUCCAAAAGUAACCUCACUCAAUAUACAUCAAGUCUCUCAUUUACACAUGGUACUCUAAUGAGGGAGGCUACUAACUAGGGCGCUAUGCCCUUACCGCGAUCCUCAGCCGGUCCACUCGAGCUAAGCCCUGCAACAAAGUGGGAUGAGAACUAACAAAAGUUCCCAGUGGGUUCGGCCGCCGACUCCGCCGAUUUUCCUACUAGGUCUAAGCAGGCAUAAGUAGAGAUAUAACAUGGUAAUGAAAUCUGCUAACAUAGUAAUGAAAUCUACUAACAUGCUACUAUGCCUCAACAACCUGAUAUGAACGAAGUAUGUAACAUACCAAACUCCCUCGCUUGUGAAGUUUUGGUUGGAACUUGUUCGAAAAGUUAUUAGAGUAGUUCCGGUGAAGUUUGGGAGCGUUCGAGUGUUUUCGGUACGCGUCGGGCACGAAAACAGAACUCAAAAAGCUAUGAUUGGACCUUGGCCGAAAUCCGGCAAGGCAUGGAUGAAAAGAGGGUUUAAACACGCUCGAAAACAUGUUUUGGGGGUCUCGGUAUGAUUAGAUAUGAAUCGGAGGCCCUGGAAGCGAAAAUGAGCGAAAACGGACCAAAGGCUGAAAUUGCUAAUUUUUCGGGCUGGUGGAAUUACGCGGUCCGGACCCUAGCCCUAGGGUUUAGACCCUGAACCCGAAAAAUGCCCAAAAAUAGCAGGGGGCUGAUUGGUAAUUGUGUGGGUUGCUUUUAAAAAGGGGCCUCAACCCCUUCUUCUUCUUCUCCCACAGCAAACACACCACACACACACAAGGAUAGAGAGAGGACCUCUCCUCUCUCUCUCUAGAUAUCUCCUUUCCCUCUCUUGAUCUCUCUCCUAAAAUUGGAGGCUUGGUGGAGAGGAAGCUUGGGAACGUGUUGGGAGCGACGGAUCGAGUCUUCGUGCGCUCGGUGGAGCGGCGUGCUUUCGACUCGGCGUUCGCAAUUUGGUAAGUGUUUAAGAUUUUGGUUAAAUCCUUUGAGCAUGAUAUGCUAGUGAUCCCUAGGAUAUUCUAAGCUUGCUCUCCAUGAAUUUCAUAAGGUAUUUGGAUAAAUGAGAGAUUAGGGCUUAGAAUUGGGGGAUUGGGGGUUUAGGGGUUUUAAUCUAAUUUAACCCUAUGUUUCUCUAAUUGGAGGUUAGAGAAGGAUCCCAAGUAGCUCUAGGUUGUGGAUUGGCGAGUGUUUGGUUGCCGAUUGCGAGUUCGAGUCGAACCGGACCACGUGUGCCGCGGGAGGCCGAUUGCAAGUGACUACAAACAAUCAGAGAGUAAUAUUAGGUGGGUUGUGCCUCACCGAAGCGACUAGGUCGCCUCUAUGUCGAAGUGGAGUAUGGUUUUCUAAUUGAUGCAUAUAUACAUAAUGGUAGUUAAUUGCUAGAUGAAUGCAUGAAAUAGAUGUUAUAUGAAUGCAUGAGAUUCUAUAUAAAUGGCUACCAUUGGAUGACAAAUAUAUGCUAGAAAACAUAUGCUAGUUGAGAAUAUGCAUGUUGACAUUGUGAGGAAUAUAUGCUAGAUGGUAUAUAAAUGUUGACAUGGUGAUAAAAUGCUAAUGGAAUAUGCACGUUAUCAUUUUGUGGAAUAUAUGCUAGAUGGAAUAGACACGUUGACAUAUUGUAGCAUGUGUCGGAUUUAUAUAAAUGUGAACUCAGGUCGAUAACUCUAGGUGGUUAGAGAACUCGACAUUGAAAAACAAGAAUAUGUGAACUAUAAUACUCAAUGUGGACAAUUAGGAUGUCAAGUAGAUUGAGUGGCAUUGAACCUAGUGUUGUGAAACAUAGGUUGGCAUUGAACCUAGAGUCGAGAUCUAGGUGGACAUGACAUAGUGUUAAGUCUUGUGUGUUGACAAGUUUCGUGAAGUGAGUCGGAGUCUUGAAGAAUUGGUGCGUAUCGUCGAAGAUCGAAGAAUUCAAGAUUUCGAAGAAGUUGGAAAAUAACUCAUGAUGUGAAUCACGAUGUCCAGGUAAAGUGUUAAUUCAUAUUAUGGUGAUUCAUACUUAGUUGUAGACAUUAGAAUCAUAAUAUCGAUGUUUAAUGGAUUAGAACCCACUCGGGGCCUGUCGAGAUCCCUCGCCCUGGCGCUGGACGGGUGGUCGCCCUGGCUGGUACUGUGUCGAGGGAGUCCCCUGGCUGGCGGCUGGUAGAGCCGGUGCCGAUGCGGUCGACGGUGCCGGUGAAGAUCCCCUCGGGCACUCGGUCCGGAAGUGGCCCUCUUGGCCGCACUGGAAACACCUCCCUCCCCGCUGCGGGCACUGCGGUGGAAUGUGGGGGCCACCACAGAUCACGCACUGGGGAGGUCGGCGUCGGUCAGAACCUCCACGGUGAGUCGCCGAGCCACGCCCACGCUGCUGGCUCCUCGAAUGCUUCGGCGGCCUCCUAGAGUGCGUCUGGCCCGCACCCUCAGCCGCAGGCCUCUUGGCCUUCCCUUUGUCUCUAGCCUCACGCUGCUCUUGGACAUCCGCCGCGCCGCUCUCCACGAUGAGCGCGCGAUCCACCACCUCCCGGUAGGUUUGGAGGUUAGAGGAUUGCACAAACCGGAAGAUAGACGGUCUCAAUCCCCGCUCGAAGAUGCGGGCCUUGUCCUCGUCGUCCCGCACGACGAAAGGCACGCAAUGCAGAAGCCGAGAAAACUCCCUCUCGUACUCGGCUACGGUCCGGUCACCCUGGCACAAGUUGCGCAAAUCCUGCUCCAUCUUUCUCUUGACGCUGGUCGGGAAAUAGUGCGCCAACAGAAGUUCCUUGAACCUCGUCCAAGUGAUAGCCGCCAAGUCAGUGCUGAGGUGCUCCUGGAAAUCCAACCACCAGCGGUAGGCCUCGCCGUCCAAGUGGUGAGUGGCGAGCCAAACUCUGUCCCUCUCCUCCACGAAGGUGUCGCGGAAGAGCUUCUCCAUAUGCAUCAACCACUUCUCCACGAUCCAGUGGUCGACUUUCUCGCCAUCGAAGAUUCGGGGGCUGCACCUCCUGAACUCAUUGAGGCGCUCCAUCA